RNAcentral lists this ribosomal RNA (686 nucleotides) under Streptomyces sp. RNAcentral describes it as "bacterial SSU rRNA". It matches the Rfam family "Bacterial small subunit ribosomal RNA", at positions 219 to 915 of the family's 1533-position model. The record is from RNAcentral. Lineage: Bacteria; Bacillati; Actinomycetota; Actinomycetes; Kitasatosporales; Streptomycetaceae.
UGAAGGAUGAGCCCGCGGCCUAUCAGCUUGUUGGUGGGGUGAUGGCCUACCAAGGCGACGACGGGUAGCCGGCCUGAGAGGGCGACCGGCCACACUGGGACUGAGACACGGCCCAGACUCCUACGGGAGGCAGCAGUGGGGAAUAUUGCACAAUGGGCGAAAGCCUGAUGCAGCGACGCCGCGUGAGGGAUGACGGCCUUCGGGUUGUAAACCUCUUUCAGCAGGGAAGAAGCGAGAGUGACGGUACCUGCAGAAGAAGCGCCGGCUAACUACGUGCCAGCAGCCGCGGUAAUACGUAGGGCGCAAGCGUUGUCCGGAAUUAUUGGGCGUAAAGAGCUCGUAGGCGGCUUGUCACGUCGGAUGUGAAAGCCCGGGGCUUAACCCCGGGUCUGCAUUCGAUACGGGCAGGCUAGAGUGUGGUAGGGGAGAUCGGAAUUCCUGGUGUAGCGGUGAAAUGCGCAGAUAUCAGGAGGAACACCGGUGGCGAAGGCGGAUCUCUGGGCCAUUACUGACGCUGAGGAGCGAAAGCGUGGGGAGCGAACAGGAUUAGAUACCCUGGUAGUCCACGCCGUAAACGUUGGGAACUAGGUGUUGGCGACAUUCCACGUCGUCGGUGCCGCAGCUAACGCAUUAAGUUCCCCGCCUGGGGAGUACGGCCGCAAGGCUAAAACUCAAAGGAAUUGACG